UGCCCCUCACCUUCCUCCCCUCCAUCCCUCCUUGCAGAGUCCACGCUGGAAUAAAAGUCAAGAUGACAAAAUCUGCCUGGUGACAGGGUGAGGAAGAGCUGCAUUCCAGGAAGGGGCUGGAAUGGGAAAGGACUCGAAUGAAACAGAGGGGUCUACACCCGAGGAUAAGGCACAGCUUGUACUGUGAGACAGAGCCAGUGAAGCAGGGCCUGAGCCCUGGCAGGGGUGAACAAGAGGGGAAGAAGGUGGGGAGCCAUGGUUGCCUGCCUGGAGUAUUCAGGAGACAUUGGGGACAAGGAAAAAAACACCCUUUAUGGUGCAGUGCUCCCCCGCCAAGGACAGAGGGCCAAAGGCUCAGACUCACCAGUCCCUUCUUAGACCUGGAGAGCCAGAUUGCUGAGGAAGAGAGAGCUUUACAGUGGCCCCAUCUGGGACACACAACCCAUAGUCUCCGUGGUCUGCCUUCCAUGCAAUAAUAUACUCCACGGGCAUUUUUCUACAUCAAUAAAUGCAAAUCCACACAGCCUUGCUGACUUCAGGGAAUCUGUGCCUUGGACCUGGCAUCCUCUACUUAACAGCCCUGCUGUCCGUGGACGUUUUGUUCAUUUCCAGCUUUGCAGUAGACAGUAGCCUGUAACCAGCAGGGCCCACUACACUUCCCUGCACAUUCACAGACUCUGGUACAAUUAUUUUGUAAUGAUACACCGUAGAAGGG
RNAcentral lists this long non-coding RNA (715 nucleotides) under Fukomys damarensis (Damara mole-rat). RNAcentral describes it as "lncRNA (ENSFDAG00000028995.1)". The record is from RNAcentral. Lineage: Eukaryota; Metazoa; Chordata; Mammalia; Rodentia; Bathyergidae.